Molecule: ribosomal RNA, 701 nt
Filed under: Rummeliibacillus sp. I13B-01798
Lineage: Bacteria; Bacillati; Bacillota; Bacilli; Caryophanales; Caryophanaceae
Description: bacterial SSU rRNA
Rfam family: Bacterial small subunit ribosomal RNA
Source: RNAcentral
UGUAGACUGGGAUAACUUCGGGAAACCGGAGCUAAUACCGGAUAAUCCAUUUCACCUCAUGGUGAAAUGUUGAAAGGCGCUUUCGCGUCACUACAGGAUGGGCCCGCGGUGCAUUAGCUAGUUGGUGGGGUAACGGCCUACCAAGGCGACGAUGCAUAGCCGACCUGAGAGGGUGAUCGGCCACAUUGGGACUGAGACACGGCCCAAACUCCUACGGGAGGCAGCAGUAGGGAAUCUUCCACAAUGGACGAAAGUCUGAUGGAGCAACGCCGCGUGAGUGAUGAAGGUUUUCGGAUCGUAAAACUCUGUUGUAAGGGAAGAACAAGUACGUUAGGAAAUGAACGUACCUUGACGGUACCUUAUUAGAAAGCCACGGCUAACUACGUGCCAGCAGCCGCGGUAAUACGUAGGUGGCAAGCGUUGUCCGGAUUUAUUGGGCGUAAAGCGCGCGCAGGUGGUUUCUUAAGUCUGAUGUGAAAGCCCACGGCUCAACCGUGGAGGGUCAUUGGAAACUGGGAGACUUGAGUGCAGAAGAGGAAAGUGGAAUUCCAAGUGUAGCGGUGAAAUGCGUAGAGAUUUGGAGGAACACCAGUGGCGAAGGCGACUUUCUGGUCUGUAACUGACGCUGAGGCGCGAAAGCAUGGGGAGCAAACAGGAUUAGAUACCCUGGUAGUCCAUGCCGUAAACGAUGAGUGCUAAGU